This 492-nucleotide ribosomal RNA is filed under the name uncultured bacterium. Its description in RNAcentral is "partial 16S ribosomal RNA". It matches the Rfam family "Bacterial small subunit ribosomal RNA", at positions 29 to 507 of the family's 1533-position model. The record is from RNAcentral.
AGUGAACGCUGGCGGUAGGCCUAACACAUGCAAGUCGAACGGCAGCACAGUAAGAGCUUGCUCUUACGGGUGGCGAGUGGCGGACGGGUGAGGAAUACAUCGGAAUCUACUUUUUCGUGGGGGAUAACGUAGGGAAACUUACGCUAAUACCGCAUACUACCUACGGGUGAAAGCAGGGGAUCUUCGGACCUUGCGCGAUUGAAUGAGCCGAUGUCGGAUUAGCUAGUUGGCGGGGUAACGGCCCACCAAGGCGACGAUCCGUAGCUGGUCUGAGAGGAUGAUCAGCCACACUGGAACUGAGACACGGUCCAGACUCCUACGGGAGGCAGCAGUGGGGAAUAUUGGACAAUGGGCGCAAGCCUGAUCCAGCCAUACCGCGUGGGUGAAGAAGGCCUUCGGGUUGUAAAGCCCUUUUGUUGGGAAAGAAAAGCAGCAGGUUAAUACCCCGCUGUUCUGACGGUACCCAAAGAAUAAGCACCGGCUAACUUCGUG